Molecule: long non-coding RNA, 104 nt
Organism: Thalassophryne amazonica
Lineage: Eukaryota; Metazoa; Chordata; Actinopteri; Batrachoidiformes; Batrachoididae
Exons: 3
Source: RefSeq, a predicted model, not a curated record
GGUUGUGUCAGUGCCCUUGGUAAAGGUAAUUUAUACUUCUGUAAUGUAGCAUUAAUGCAGAAAAGUGCACUGAGAUACUAGAGCAACGCCUUCUCCAUAGCCAU